UACAGAAAUUAAGAUAGAGAGAGUACUCGUUAAAACAAGUGGUGCGAAUGAAAAUGACGUGCAAAGCGCGUAUAUAUAAUGUUUCGAAAAUUAAAAAAAGAAAAAGAAAAUUUCGCUCGCCGAUCUCUCGCCGGUCCGGAGACUGCAAUGGCGGCGAGCGGACCGGCGAGCGCAUCGGCCAGCGCUCGCGGAUCGGCGUGCGCUCGCCGACUUUUUCGCCGAAAUGGAGUUCGCUGAUUACAAUGGUUCGGCGAGCGCCGGAGAUCGGCUAGCCGGUCCGCUCGCCUCCAUUGUGGAUACUCUAAGAUACUAGUACAUUUCUAUUCAUUAUAUAAACUAGUAUUCAAUUAAAUAUCCCUAACACAACCAAAACAGUAAAUUCAAUUUGAUCGGAAUUCUUCGUCGGGAGAAAAAAUAAAAAAAAAGUCCAAAGUUCAUGUAUUUAUAUUCAAACAAAAAGUUCGGGAGAAAAAACAGAAAAAAUUGAACGUUCAUGUAUUUACAGGCAAAUAACACCAUUAAUAAAUGUCGUGAUGGAAAAAAUGAGAAAAAAGAAGAGAAAAAUAUAAAAAAAUCCUUAAUUUAAAAAAUUGAGACCCAUAUUCGAAAUCUCUCGGGAGGGAAAACGCAUGCUAUUUAUGCUCCUGUUUUUGUGUGUUGGAUUCAGUCAGGCCGAAGCGGCUGUUUAUAUUUGUGAAUCCCUACGGAGGGAAUAAAUCGGCACCGAAAGUCAUUCAAAAUGAUGCGAAGCCCAUAUGGAGUAUGUCUAUUCAAGAAGCCAAACACCAAUUGCACGCGAAUGAAGCCGUUCGGACUCUGGAUCUGUCAAAAUUCGAUGGAAUUGUUUGCGUUAGCGGAGAUGGAAUUUCUGGUUGAGUAGGUACUACUAAGUGGACUGCUCAGCUUGGAGGAUUGGGAAAAGGAUACCUCUUGGAGUAGUACCUGAACUGGAAAUGGCAUGACAAGGUCGCUUCUAGAUUCACAUGGCGAACCAUGUGCAACAGUUAAUGCUGCUAUGUUUAUUAUUCGAGGGAAUGACCAUACACUAUGUUAGUGGUAUGUAUGAAUUUUUGGGGUAAAUCAAUACAGGUCUGGUGGCUGAUAUCGAUAUCGAAAUGCUAUGUUAGUGGUAUGUAUGAAUUUCAUACAUACACUAUGUUAGUGGUAUGUAUGAAUUUUUGUGGUAUGCAUGAAUUUUUCAGGGAAGUACAGAUGAACUGGAAGUGCUCAAUUGGAUUUAUACCUAAGUUCGCAUUGAAAUAUUAAUGGAUAACCACAAAACAAAGUAUACUACAUACUAUGUAAUUAUUGCACAGCUCAUGCUAUAAAUUUUUUUAUACUGCAUGUGAUUCAUAUUAUGUACAGGAAAGUGUCGAUUAUUUAUUUCUACGAGAAGAGAUUUUGCAUUUCUGUAUUUGUUUCUAAUGUUUCAGCCAGUUUGGAAAUACUUAGUAGUUAGUACUCAGGGUAUUCCUAAAACUUGCUAUUUCUUCUGCAGUUCUUGUUUUCUAAAUGUGUGUUUUCGUGUUGAAUCUCGUGAUAUCAUCAUCUUAAUUGAAUACAUCCGUGUCUGAGAUAUGUCUUUCUUCACCUAAAAGAAUGAGGCUCUCAUGUGAAUUUUAGGGUCUUCAACGAAUAUUUGGUCUCAGGAGGUACAACGGACAUGUAAAUUUUGUGCCAGCAUCAGGCUAUUAAAUCUUAUGGAGAGCUACCAGAUCUAGAAAAGAAUAUAAUUAUCGAUGAUGAAAGUGCAACGAAAUCUGUGGACGGACUCGUUAGGGAUCCAUCGUAUGGUUACCAGGGUCCUAAAGCUGCCCCUCAUGCUGAGUUUUCAGAUGGUUGCUUGGACCUGAUCAUGAUAAACAAAAGUCCCAAACUACCGUUGCUCAAGUUGAUGAGUGAAUUGAACAGCGAAGGCCAUGUUAAAUCCCCUCAUGUUUCAGAGUUUUGAUAGCCGAUAUCGUUUCUGCCCUUUUAGUCCAUCAGUACCUUUUUUCGUGCAAUAAAACUUUAACAUCUCCUGAUGCAUUAGUUUAUAAUCUCAGCCACAGGCCCACAGCUCAGGCCCACAGGUGAAGGCAUUCAUUUUGCAGCCUCGUCCACGAACUGAUAACGAAGGGUUGGAUCAUAGACGUGGAUGGAGAAGUUUUGGCCCGAGGGUCGAGGGAGGGGAACAUACAAAUGCGAAGAAGAUACAUUGAUGAGAUACGACAGAAGACUCAUUAGAAUUGAUCAAGGUUUGGCUACUUUAUUUGCUCCCAAUUAGCAUAUCUCAAUGUUGUUAAUUUGUUCAUCAUAUGUAUCUAUAUCUGUUUUUGUGACCCUUUUUUUUAUUUUUUAUUAUAGACUCUUUAUAUGGUUUCUAACAUGAGAGAGAGAGGGAGAGGUGUGGUUGGUCACUUGCAAUAGUUUGUUUAAUGAAAUAAAGGUACAUACAAUUUAUUCGA
This is a long non-coding RNA of Salvia splendens (bonfire salvia), 2447 nucleotides long. RefSeq lists it as uncharacterized. The transcript is spliced from 6 exons. NCBI's taxonomy places the organism in Eukaryota, Viridiplantae, Streptophyta, Magnoliopsida, Lamiales, Lamiaceae. The record is from RefSeq and is a predicted model, not a curated record.